CCUACGGUGGGCUGCAGUGGGGAAUAUUGGACAAUGGGCGAAAGCCUGAUCCAGCCAUGCCGCGUGUGUGAAGAAGGCCUUCGGGUUGUAAAGCACUUUCAGUGGGGAAGAAAGCCUUGGGGCUAAUACCCUCGAGGAAGGACAUCACCCACAGAAGAAGCACCGGCUAACUCCGUGCCAGCAGCCGCGGUAAUACGGAGGGUGCGAGCGUUAAUCGGAAUUACUGGGCGUAAAGCGCGCGUAGGCGGUCUGAUAAGCCGGUUGUGAAAGCCCCGGGCUCAACCUGGGAACGGCAUCCGGAACUGUCAGGCUAGAGUGAAGCAGAGGAAGGUAAAAUCCCCGGUGUAGCGGUGAAAUGCGUAGAGAUCGGGAGGAAUCCCAGUGGGGAGGGCGGCCUUCUGGACUGACCCUGCCGCUGAGGUGCAAAAGCGUGGGUAGCAACCAGGAUUAGAUCCCCCAGUAGUC
This 465-nucleotide ribosomal RNA is filed under the name Vreelandella stevensii. RNAcentral describes it as "partial 16S ribosomal RNA". It matches the Rfam family "Bacterial small subunit ribosomal RNA", at positions 338 to 795 of the family's 1533-position model. Lineage: Bacteria; Pseudomonadati; Pseudomonadota; Gammaproteobacteria; Oceanospirillales; Halomonadaceae. The record is from RNAcentral.